Molecule: ribosomal RNA, 405 nt
Filed under: uncultured bacterium
Lineage: Bacteria
Description: partial 16S ribosomal RNA
Rfam family: Bacterial small subunit ribosomal RNA
Source: RNAcentral
AUUGAACGCUGGCGGCAGGCUUAACACAUGCAAGUCGAACGAGUGGCGGACGGGUGAGUAAUGCUUGGGAAUCUGGCUUAUGGAGGGGGAUAACGACGGGUAACUGUCGCUAAUACCGCGUACCAUAGGAUGAGCCCAAGUGGGAUUAGGUAGUUGGUGGGGUAAUGGCCUACCAAUCCGACGAUCUCUAGCUGGUCUGAGAGGAUGACAAGCAACACCGUGACUGAGACACGGCCCGGACUCCUACGGGAGGCAGCAGUGGGGAAUAUUGCGCAAGGGGGGCAACCAGACGCAGCCAUGCCGCGUGAAGGAAGAAGGCCUUCGGGUUGUAGAGUUCUUUCGGUGACGAGGGGUUGAUCACAGAAGAAGCACCGGCUAAAUCCGUGCCAGCAGCCGCGGUAAUAC